Molecule: ribosomal RNA, 152 nt
Filed under: Loxodes vorax
Lineage: Eukaryota; Ciliophora; Karyorelictea; Loxodida; Loxodidae
Description: 5.8S ribosomal RNA
Rfam family: 5.8S ribosomal RNA
About the family: 5.8S ribosomal RNA (5.8S rRNA) is a component of the large subunit of the eukaryotic ribosome. It is transcribed by RNA polymerase I as part of the 45S precursor that also contains 18S and 28S rRNA.
Source: RNAcentral
AAGCCCCAACGAUGGAUGCCUAGGCUCUGGCGUCGAUGAAGGACGCAGCGAAGCGCGAAAUUCAAUGCGAAUUGCAGGACUCCGUGAGUCAUCAGGUUUCCCAACGCAACAGGCACCUUGGGGAAACUCAAGGUAUGUUCCUUUCAGUAUCA